This 385-nucleotide ribosomal RNA is filed under the name uncultured bacterium. Its description in RNAcentral is "bacterial SSU rRNA". It matches the Rfam family "Bacterial small subunit ribosomal RNA", at positions 30 to 417 of the family's 1533-position model. The record is from RNAcentral.
AUUGAACGCUGGCGGCAUGCCUUACACAUGCAAGUCGAACGGCAGCGCGGGGCAACCUGGCGGCGAGUGGCGAACGGGUGAGUAAUAUAUCGGAACGUACCCUGGAGUGGGGGAUAACGUAGCGAAAGUUACGCUAAUACCGCAUACGAUCUAAGGAUGAAAGUGGGGGAUCGCAAGACCUCAUGCUCCUGGAGCGGCCGAUAUCUGAUUAGCUAGUUGGUGGGGUAAAGCCUACCAAGGCAUCGAUCAGUAGCUGGUCUGAGAGGACGACCAGCCACACUGGGACUGAGACACGGGCCCAGACUCCUACGGGAGGCAGCAGUGGGGAAUUUUGGACAAUGGGGGCAACCCUGAUCCAGCAAUGCCGCGUGAGUGAAGAAGGCCU